RNAcentral lists this ribosomal RNA (251 nucleotides) under uncultured prokaryote. Its description in RNAcentral is "partial 16S rRNA". It matches the Rfam family "Bacterial small subunit ribosomal RNA", at positions 525 to 775 of the family's 1533-position model. The record is from RNAcentral.
ACGGAGGGAGCUAGCGUUGUUCGUCAUUACUGGGCUUAAAGCGCACGUAGGCGGCUUUGUAAGUCAGAGGUGAAAUCCUGGAGCUCAACUCCAGAACUGCCUUUGAGACUGCAUCGCUUGAAUCCAGGAGAGGUGAGUGGAAUUCCGAGUGUAGGGGUGAAAUUCGUUGAUAUUCGGAGGAACACCAGUGGCGAAGGCGGCUCACUGGAUUGGUAUUGACGCUGAGGUGCGAAAGCGUGGGGAGUAAACAG